This 264-nucleotide ribosomal RNA is filed under the name uncultured bacterium. Its description in RNAcentral is "partial 16S ribosomal RNA". It matches the Rfam family "Bacterial small subunit ribosomal RNA", at positions 98 to 354 of the family's 1533-position model. The record is from RNAcentral.
CGGAACGGGUGAGUAACACGUGGGGCAACCCUGCCCAAAAGAGGGGGAUAACACUUGGAAACAGGUGCUAAUACCGCAUAACCAUAGUUACCGCAUGGUAACUAUGUAAAAGGUGGCUAUGCUACCGCUUUUGGAUGGGCCCGCGGCGCAUUAGCUAGUUGGUGGGGUAAAGGCUUACCAAGGCAAUGAUGCGUAGCCGAACUGAGAGGUUGAUCGGCCACAUUGGGACUGAGACACGGCCCAAACUCCUACGGGAGGCAGCAG